CCUACGGGUGAGCAGCAGUAGGGAAUAUUGCCCAAUGGGGGAAACCCUGAAGCAGCAACGCCGCGUGGAGGAUGAAGGUUUUCGGUUUGUAAACUCCUUUUGUUAGAGAAGAUAAUGACGGUAUCUAACGAAUAAGCACCGGCUAACUCCGUGCCAGCAGCCGCGGCAAUACGGAGGGUGCAAGCGUUACUCGGAAUCACUGGGCGGAAAGAGCGCGUAGGCGGGAUAGCAAGUCAGAUGUGAAAUCCUAUGGCUUAACCAUAGAACUGCAUUUGAAACUGUUAUUCUAGAGUAUGGGAGAGGUAGGUGGAAUUCUUGGUGUAGGGGUAAAAUCCGUAGAGAUCAAGAGGAAUACUCAUUGCGAAGGCGACCUGCUAGAACAUAACUGACGCUGAUGCGCGAAAGCGUGGGGAGCAAACAGGAUUAGAUACCCUAGUAGUC
This 441-nucleotide ribosomal RNA is filed under the name uncultured bacterium. Its description in RNAcentral is "partial 16S ribosomal RNA". It matches the Rfam family "Bacterial small subunit ribosomal RNA", at positions 338 to 795 of the family's 1533-position model. The record is from RNAcentral.